This 509-nucleotide ribosomal RNA is filed under the name uncultured bacterium. RNAcentral's name for it is "bacterial SSU rRNA". It matches the Rfam family "Bacterial small subunit ribosomal RNA", at positions 30 to 518 of the family's 1533-position model. The record is from RNAcentral.
CGAACGCUGGCGGCGUGCUAACACAUGCAAGUCGAACGCGAAAGGGACUUCGGUCCUGAGUAAAGUGGCGGCACGGGUGAGUAACGCGUAGAUAACCUGUCUUCAUGUCUGGAAUAAUACGCCGAAAGGGGUACUAAUACCGGAUAUUCUUGCUUUUCAUAAGUUAUGCAAGCAAAGGUGGCCUCUGCAUAUGCUACUGCAUGAAGAGGGGUCUGCGUACCAUUAGCUAGUAGGUGGGGUAAUGGCCUACCUAGGCGACGAUGGUUAGCGGGUCUGAGAGGAUGAUCCGCCACACUGGCACUGGAACACGGGCCAGACUCCUACGGGAGGCAGCAGUGAGGAAUAUUGCGCAAUGGGGGAAACCCUGACGCAGCGACGCCGCGUGAGUGAAGGAAGGCCUUCGGGUCGUAAAGCUCUGUCAAGAGGAAAGAAGUGUACAAUGGCUAAUACCUGUUGUAUUUGACGGUACCUCUAAAGGAAGCACCGGCUAACUCCGUGCCAGCAGCGGC